Molecule: long non-coding RNA, 273 nt
Organism: Dermacentor silvarum
Lineage: Eukaryota; Metazoa; Arthropoda; Arachnida; Ixodida; Ixodidae
Exons: 3
Source: RefSeq, a predicted model, not a curated record
AGGAGACCGCUGCGCAGCGAGAUGGUGCAGCAAUGCCUCCGCCAAUGGCGAUGGUUUUUCGUUCUUCAGGUUCCCUGUUGACGCCACAGGACACCUUAAUGGUAGACUUCCCAUCAGAAUCGCCAGUGUCUCGCAGUCUUCAAGCCUCUCCAGUCUUCAAGUCACCUGUGGCACCUGUGCUUAAACACAGCACACCAAAAUCCAGGACCAGGGCUAAGAUGUUCACACUGCAGUCGUACAAAUCACGCCUUGCUGCAGCUAUUGCCAUGGAUG